GUGUCAGCAGCCGCGGUAAUACGGAGGGUGCAAGCGUUGUCCGGAUUCACUGGGUUUAAAGGGAGCGCAGGCGGAUUGGUAAGUCAGUGGUGAAAGGCUUGAGCUUAACUCGGGAACUGCCAUUGAUACUAUCAUUCUUGAAUAUUGUUGAGGUUUGCGGAAUGGGUCAUGUAGCGGUGAAAUGCAUAGAUAUGCCAUAGAACACCAAUUGCGAAGGCAGCUGGCUAGACCUGUAUUGACGCUGAGGCACGAAAGCGUGGGGAGCGAACAGGAUUAGAUACCCUGGUAGUCCACGCCCUAAACGAUGCUUACUCGACGUAUGGCACUAGUUGUUGUGCGUCCAAGGGAAACCGUUAAGUAAGCCACCUGGGGAGUACGACCGCAAGGUUGAAACUCAAAGGAAUUGACGG
Molecule: ribosomal RNA, 410 nt
Filed under: uncultured bacterium
Lineage: Bacteria
Description: bacterial SSU rRNA
Rfam family: Bacterial small subunit ribosomal RNA
Source: RNAcentral